GAGUUCGACGCUUAGUUGGUAGAGCAUUGGGCUUUUAACCUAAUAGUCACAGGUUCAAGUCCUGCUAUACCCA
Molecule: non-coding RNA, 73 nt
Organism: Oryza punctata
Lineage: Eukaryota; Viridiplantae; Streptophyta; Magnoliopsida; Poales; Poaceae
Source: Rfam